RNAcentral lists this ribosomal RNA (253 nucleotides) under uncultured bacterium. RNAcentral's name for it is "partial 16S ribosomal RNA". It matches the Rfam family "Bacterial small subunit ribosomal RNA", at positions 524 to 776 of the family's 1533-position model. The record is from RNAcentral.
UACGAAGGGGGCUAGCGUUGCUCGGAAUCACUGGGCGUAAAGGGUGCGUAGGCGGGUCUUUAAGUCAGGGGUGAAAUCCUGGAUCUCAACUCCAGAACUGCCUUUGAUACUGGCGAUCUCGAGUUCGGGAGAGGUGAGUGGAACUGCGAGUGUAGAGGUGAAAUUCGUAGAUAUUCGCAAGAACACCAGUGGCGAAGGCGGCUCACUGGCCCGAUACUGACGCUGAGGUGCGAAAGCGUGGGGAGCAAACAGG